Ostrea edulis (European flat oyster) is the source of this 1780-nucleotide long non-coding RNA. RefSeq lists it as uncharacterized. The record is from RefSeq and is a predicted model, not a curated record. Lineage: Eukaryota; Metazoa; Mollusca; Bivalvia; Ostreida; Ostreidae. The transcript has 2 exons.
UGGGCCUCUUGUUUGACAUAGGCCCGACCUUCUGAUGAAGGUUUGAUGUCGUCGUCUUUUUUAAAUAAACAUGUGUUAUAACGAUCAAUAUGAAAGUAAUAUUUCAAUGCAACAUUCAACAGUUUACAAUGAAAAGUAGAAGUGUUUGUGCAUUUGGAUUUUAUUCACGUGGUUUCUUUGGAUCUGAGGACGAGAGGAAAUCCUGAGGCACUUCAGGCCUAGUGUAGCUGAUUGUCAAGUUGCUGGAUGCACAUAGACACCUCAAAACAAUCGCCGACUGCCCAUAAAAUAAAAAAUGUAACUGACUUUAGCCAUGUAAGUUUUGAAGAGAAUGACACCACUUUAAAAAAAAGCAUAAAGCAUACAACAUAGGACAAGGGAAAUUCAUAUCCUGUGAUGACCUUGACAAACUUUCUUCAGGAAAAUUUGCUACAUCUGGAUGUAUUAUUGCUUCAAACUUUGAAUUGCCUCCAAUCGUGACAGGAAAGAUUACACAAUGUAAAUCUAGUGCUGCGAUUCAACAAGACGAGAAGAAAUACAGUGAUAACCACUCCCCUUAUAUGUACAAAUGUCUGAUACGUCAUUGCACUGUCUUAGGUUGUAUUAAAAUGUUUGCCACCAAUGCAGGUUUUCAAAACCAUUUCCUUAUUGGAAAACAUGUACUUAAAUUAUAAAUAAAAAUAACUUACGACAAAACUAGACACCAGUGGGUUCAACUGUGCAAUGAGGUGGUGUUCAAAUGCAACAAUACAUGUAUAACAACAACAUCAACGAUUCUAGGAUAGGGUGGGCUGUACGAAACCCAGAAAAGUGACGAGAUUCCACGAGAAGAUAAGAGCAUAUCUCGGUAGAGAGCAAAAUAUCUGCUCGUACGUAACCUUGUUGAUGUUGCUGAGGAUUUGAAGAAGACAAGUGGUUACAACUGCUUUACAACUGAUCCAUGGCUAAGUGCUGCCCAGAUUACGUCCUAUUUCUCACGACUAUCUAUAAUGUCAAAACAGAAAAGGAAAAUUCAAAGCGUGAAUUUGAUGAUGAUUUGAUUGUUGCCCUUGCAGCUAUUGAGGAAGAAAACGUUGUAAACAAUAUUUACUCAGUCUGAAUUGUAGUUCUGAACUAGUUGAAAAAAAAUUCUGUUCUGAAUAUCUAAGUUAAAUCUUAAUAGUCAACAAAAGUACACAUAUAAAAUUAUUUCUUAAAACCCUAGGGAUGGAAAAUUCAGAAUUUUUGUACAUCUUUUACUGCUUUUCCUAAUUAUGCAAUUAGUUUUUAUACUAUAUCAGCUAACUUUAAAAAGUCUUUCAAAUGAUAAAUACAAUCAUUAUAAUAAUUUUGGCUUCAUCCUGGAACCAAACCCUUACCCCCUAGGAAUCAUGAAAUUUACAAUUUUGGUAAAAGACUACUUACUCCUUCUGAAUAUCUAUUUAGUUUCAGUUUAGUAUCAAUAGCAUUAAAGAAGAUAUUUUUUUCAACAAAUGUAUUGCAAUUUAUAGGGCUAAUAUACCGGUAGGGGAAAUGCCAUUUUUAGGCAAAAAUAUAGGGAUUAUAGGGGUGGUCAAAUAUAUAAAGUUUUCUAGGAAAUAUAGGGCUGCUUAAAGGCCUGUAUAUAUGGCAGUACUAACUGCUUCAAUGGCAUUAUUAUGAUAUGACAGAAAUGUAAAUACUGAGAUUACAUUUCGAGAUAUGUAUUACGAUAUAUCACAUUUCAUAAUCAAUAAUUUGUGCCUCUAUGUUCUGAAAUGAAACUAAUUAUUGAAAUGAAUUAGAGAAGAAAAAAAAGAUA